CCUACGGGAGACAGCAGUGGGGGAUAUUGCGCAAUGGGGGAAACCCUGAUGCAGCGACGCCGCGUGUGGGAAGACGGUCCUCUGGAUUGUAAACCACUUUCCCCAGGGACGAAGAUGACGGUACCUGGGGAGGAAGCUCCGUCUAACUACGUGCCAGCAGCCGCGGUAAUACGUGGGGAGCGAGCGUUGUCCGGAAUUACUGGGUGAAAAGGGAGCGUAGGGGGGGAUGAAAGUUGGGUGUAAAAACUACCGGCUCAACUGGUAGUCGCACUCAAAACUGCAGCUCUUGAGUGAAGGAGAGGCAGGCGGAAUUCCUAGUGUAGCGGUGAAAUGCGUAGAUAUUAGGAGGAACACCAGUGGCGAAGGCGGCCUGCUGGGCUUUUACUGACGCUGAGGCUCGAAAGUGUGGGGAGCAAACAGGAUUAGAUACCCCGGUAGUC
This 440-nucleotide ribosomal RNA is filed under the name uncultured bacterium. RNAcentral's name for it is "partial 16S ribosomal RNA". It matches the Rfam family "Bacterial small subunit ribosomal RNA", at positions 338 to 795 of the family's 1533-position model. The record is from RNAcentral.